RNAcentral lists this ribosomal RNA (442 nucleotides) under uncultured bacterium. RNAcentral's name for it is "partial 16S ribosomal RNA". It matches the Rfam family "Bacterial small subunit ribosomal RNA", at positions 338 to 795 of the family's 1533-position model. The record is from RNAcentral.
CCUACGGGUGGCAGCAGUGGGGAAUAUUGGGCAAUGGACGCAAGUCUGACCCAGCAACGCCGCGUGAAGGAAGAAGGCUUUCGGGUUGUAAACUUCUUUUAAGGGGGAAGAGCAGAAGACGGUACCCCUUGAAUAAGCCAUGGCUAACUACGUGCCAGCAGCCGCGGUAAUACGUAGGUGGCAAGCGUUGUCCGGAUUUACUGGGUGUAAAGGGCGUGCAGACGGGAAGUCAAGUCAGAUGUGAAAUCCCGCGGCCCAACCGCGGAACUGCAUUUGAAACUGUUUUUCUUGAGUAUAGUAGAGGUAAGCGGAAUUCCUAGUGUAGCGGUGAAAUGCGUAGAUAUUAGGAAGAACACCGAUGGCGAAGGCAGAUUACUAAACUACAACUGACAGUGAGGCGCGAAAGCGUGGGGAGCAAACAGGAUUAGAUACCCUUGUAGUC